AAUGUGUAUAUAUAAUUAUAUCGUG
This 25-nucleotide microRNA is filed under the name Apis mellifera (honey bee). RNAcentral's name for it is "ame-miR-3755-5p". The record is from miRBase by way of RNAcentral. Lineage: Eukaryota; Metazoa; Arthropoda; Insecta; Hymenoptera; Apidae.